RNAcentral lists this ribosomal RNA (229 nucleotides) under uncultured bacterium. RNAcentral describes it as "partial 16S ribosomal RNA". It matches the Rfam family "Bacterial small subunit ribosomal RNA", at positions 568 to 796 of the family's 1533-position model. The record is from RNAcentral.
UGCGUAGGCGGUGCAAUUAGUCAGUGGUGAAAUCCUGCGGCUUAACCGUAGAACUGCCAUUGAUACUGUUGUCCUUGAGUAUAGUUGAGGUGGGCGGAAUGUGUAAUGCAGCGGUGCAAUGCAUAGAGCUUACACAGAACACCAAUUGCGAAGGCAGCUCACUAAGCUAUAACUGACGCUGAGGCACGAAAGCGUGGGGAGCGAACAGGAUUAGAUACCCUGGUAGUCC